This 69-nucleotide transfer RNA is filed under the name Marmota monax (woodchuck). RNAcentral describes it as "tRNA.Ala". The record is from RNAcentral. Lineage: Eukaryota; Metazoa; Chordata; Mammalia; Rodentia; Sciuridae.
GGGGUUGUGUCUCAGUGGUACAGUGCUUGCCUAGCAUGCAUGAGGCACUAGGUUCAAUCCUCAGCACCA